RNAcentral lists this ribosomal RNA (693 nucleotides) under Peronospora sparsa. RNAcentral describes it as "eukaryotic LSU rRNA". It matches the Rfam family "Eukaryotic large subunit ribosomal RNA", at positions 81 to 634 of the family's 3401-position model. Lineage: Eukaryota; Oomycota; Peronosporomycetes; Peronosporales; Peronosporaceae. The record is from RNAcentral.
UAGUAACGGCGAGUGAAGCGGGAUGAGCUCAAGCUUAAAAUCUCCGUACAAGUUUUGUACGGCGAAUUGUAGUCUAUAGAGGCGUGGUCAGUGUGGACACUUGGGGUAAGUUCCUUGGAAGAGGACAGCAUGGAGGGUGAUACUCCCGUUCAUCCCUGAGUGGCUCGUGCGUACGACCCGUUUUCUUUGAGUCGCGUUGUUUGGGAAUGCAGCGCAAAGUAGGUGGUAAAUUCCAUCUAAAGCUAAAUAUUGGUGCGAGACCGAUAGCAUACAAGUACCGUGAGGGAAAGAUGAAAAGAACUUUGAAAAGAGAGUUAAAGAGUACCUGAAACUGCUGAAAGGGAACCGAAUCGUUUCCAGUGUCUAUAAUCCGUGACAUAUUUCAUUGGCGAGUGUGUGCGUGCGUGUGCUAUGGCAGCGGCUUUUUUGGCUGCGCUUGGCGUGUGUGCUGUGUGUGCUUGCUGGUGCCCUGUGCUGCGGUGGGACGUCAAUGUCAGUUCGUAUGCUGCGGGAAAUGGCUGCCGAGGAGGUAGGGCUUACGCUUGCGUUUGUCUGUUAUAUCUUGGUGGACGAGUAGUCGCGGUUGGGACUGAGGUGCCUACAACGUGCUUUUGAGUGGGCUUGUGUCUCCGUGUGCACCGUGUGCGGAUAGCUUGCUAUGUGUGUGUGGUUGUGUGUGGAUUGAUGCGAGCU